RNAcentral lists this ribosomal RNA (395 nucleotides) under uncultured Thermus sp. Its description in RNAcentral is "bacterial SSU rRNA". It matches the Rfam family "Bacterial small subunit ribosomal RNA", at positions 989 to 1382 of the family's 1533-position model. The record is from RNAcentral. Lineage: Bacteria; Thermotogati; Deinococcota; Deinococci; Thermales; Thermaceae.
UAGGGAACCCGGGUGGAAGCCUGGGGUGCCCCGGCAGGGGAGCCCUAGCACAGGUGCUGCAUGGCCGUCGUCAGCUCGUGCCGUGAGGUGUUGGGUUAAGUCCCGCAACGAGCGCAACCCCCGCCGUUAGUGCCAGCGGUUCGGCCGGGCACUCUAACGGGACUGCCCGCGAAAGCGGGAGGAAGGAGGGGACGACGUCUGGUCAGCAUGGCCCUUACGGCCUGGGCGACACACGUGCUACAAUGCCCACUACAAAGCGAUGCCACCCGGCAACGGGGAGCUAAUCGCAAAAGGUGGGCCCAGUUCGGAUUGGGGUCUGCAACCCGACCCCAUGAAGCCGGAAUCGCUAGUAAUCGCGGAUCAGCCAUGCCGCGGUGAAUACGUUCCCGGGCCUU